Molecule: ribosomal RNA, 607 nt
Filed under: uncultured eukaryote
Lineage: Eukaryota
Description: eukaryotic LSU rRNA
Rfam family: 5.8S ribosomal RNA (bases 183-335)
Source: RNAcentral
UUCCGUAGGUGAACCUGCGGAAGGAUCAUUACCACACUGAUAGAUCCAAACGAUCUUUAUACCUUGUGUUUCAGUUAUGGAGCAUGAGAUUUUUAUAUGUGAAUGUAUCUUUUUCAUUACAUAAACAACAACAUUUAUUACAAUAAAUAUUUUCUUAUUAGAGAAAAACCAAAAUAUCUUACAACUUACAGCGACGGAUAUCUUGGCUCUCGCAACGAUGAAGAACGCAGCGAAAUGCGAUACGUAAUGUAAAUUGCAGUCUUAGUGAAUCAUCAAAAUUUUGAACGCAAGUUGCACUUCCGGGUUUUCCUGGAAGUAUGCUUGUUUCAGUGUCCGUAAACCUCACUCACAUCAUUGUAUGUGGAUUAUGACUGUUUUUUCCUUUGUUUAUGAUACAGAGGAAAUCAGUUGAAAUGUUAUGGGUGUUGAAUGUGAUUUCAAACGCUUUUUUAGAUCAACAUAACUAGUUUGUCUUUAUUGACGAAAUAUAACCUUGUUGAAUCCAAUCUAAAAUCACAAUUGAAUCCAUCACAAACUCAACCUCAAAACACACAAAUAAACUCGGAUCUGAAAUCAAGCAAGAGGACCCGCUGAAUUUAAGCAUAUC